UACUUGUAUGCUGUAACUCUGUAGGGAUUUUGUUUGUCAAACGCACGUUUGAAAAAGGUUAACAUUUAUGGCGAAAGAAUAUUUUGAUAAUUCUUGAAAAUGCAUUAUUUUAAAUAUAGAAAAUUUGCUACAUCCUUUAGUAUAAUAAGAAACAUGGCUACUGUUAAAAGGUUCUAUCGAAAAACGAAUAUUGUGUCAAGUGGUGGAAGAUUUGAAAUUACACUCGACCAAAGGAAACUUAAAACUCCACAAGGAAAAAUAUUUGAAGUGGAUAACAAGCCGCUUGCAUUAGCAGUGGCUGCAGAAUGGGAUGCACAAAAAGAUGUUAUUGAUAGAAGCAAUAUGCACUUGACUGCUCUGUGUAAUACCAUAAUAGACAAUCCUCACAAACAUACAAAGAUAGAUAUGGUCAAUUAUAUUGUAAACUGUUUAGAAAUGGAUACACUUUUAUUUCAUACAAAUGAAAGUGAUGAAUUGUAUAAAUUACAAACUGAAAAAUGGGACCCAUUAGUACAAUGGUUUUGUGAUAACUAUAGUGUAAAUAUGGUAAAAACUCAAAGUAUAGAGGCUCCCAUCGUAUCUGAAGAAACUAAAAUGGUACUGGUGAGACAUUUAAUGUCUUAUGACUAUGCAGCAGUUCAUGGUUUCAUGUAUGGAGUAGAUGCAAUAAAAUCUGUGAUUCUCACAUUAGCUGCAGCAGAACGAGUGAUUACUAUACAAGAUGCAGUAAAACUGUCGCGUUUAGAGGAAGAUUUUCAAACUUCUCAUUGGGGAUCUGUAGAAUGGUUUCAUGAUCAUAACAAGUAUGAUUUACAAACUCGUUUAGCUGCAGCAAUAUUAUUUGUGCAUUUGAACUCUAGUUCAGUGACUAGUCUACCCAAAAAUAAUAAUGAAAAUGUUAGUUAAUGUACAAGGAUCAAUGAAAUGAGUUUGAAACGUGACAGGAGGAUGAGUUAACAGAGGAUAAUGCUUCCACUGAUCAGGUACCACAGAUUACGCAUUACUUUUGAAGAAAUAAUUCACCUAUACGUAGCCCCAUGAUUCAAACAUAUUGCGCCAUUUUUACACAAAUGACGGAUGCAUUCGUUGCGAUG
RNA transcript from Hylaeus anthracinus, 1094 nucleotides. It is a transcript of the gene named ATP synthase mitochondrial F1 complex assembly factor 2, with no coding region annotated. The record is from RefSeq and is a predicted model, not a curated record. The transcript is spliced from 8 exons. Lineage: Eukaryota; Metazoa; Arthropoda; Insecta; Hymenoptera; Colletidae.